Molecule: non-coding RNA, 11491 nt
Organism: Xyrichtys novacula (pearly razorfish)
Lineage: Eukaryota; Metazoa; Chordata; Actinopteri; Labriformes; Labridae
Source: the annotation of a GenBank genome assembly
GGCUGAGUGAGAAAGAGGGUGACGAAAAGGAUGAAGACAGAGAGGGUGUCAGGAUGAGGAGGUGAGAGGAAAAAAAGGAGAGAGGAAACAGGAUUUGGGUUUGGAGAAAUGCAAUUGAAUGAUCGAGAGCAUGCUGCAAAGUGUUUUGAAAAAUUGGAGAUUAAAGGCAUGAAAAGCAGAGCGAAAUAUAGGCGAGGAAAAGAGAGAAAUGGGGAAAGAGAACAAGAGCUGGAGACAGGGUAUAGGAUCUGUGUCGAGUCAAUGUGAUAGACAUCUCCAUCAAGCAGUGGGAGCUUGAGUCUAAAUUAAAAAGAGUUCUUCACUGGUUUUUCGAUUCACAAAAGCAAGAGGAGGAAACAUUUGUUUAAGCCGAACAGGCAGACAAAAAGAGUAUGCCUUUCUCCUAAAAUCCAUAGUAACGCUUUCUUUUACGGUACACUUAUUACCAGGUAAUUAACAGGUAAUUACCAAGUAACAACAUGAAAUUAUCUGCUAAUUAAAUUAUAACUACUAAGUCAAUACUGUCUAGCUACCAGGUAGGUAACCUUCCAGCAUCAUACAAACUUAAUUGUUCUGGUAUUUCCAGGAUUUUCUCCGCUUCCUGGAACCACCACUUGCGCAGUAGCAUUGUACGCAUUUGGCGGUUGAGUCGCUGUGAUAAUGCUCGGCUCAAACAGCGUAUCACUACGCAAUCUUCGCACGCCCAUAGGCUGUAUCAAUUGUUAAUCAUAGAAAAUAAGAACCCCAAAGAGCUUUUGAAAAUGGAGCUGCACAGAAAAAAAGAAAAAAAAAGAAAAACUAGACAGUAUUGACUUAGUAGUUAUCAUGUAAUUACCAGAUAAUUUCAUGCUGUUACUAGGUAAUUACCUGUUAAUUACCUGGUAAUAAGUGUACUGUAAAAGAAAGGGUAACCAAAUCCAUGGCUUAACCAAGGAGACCCACCUGAAAAGAUAUCAAAAUGAGAUAUCUAUAAGCAUUUUAUUUUGGAAGGGACAAAUUACAUGGUACCUUUUGUCUUUCAGUUAUUACAAAGUUUUGCAGUUUUUGUUUAAAAAUGUAUAUCAGGUGCACAUUACUUAGUCAAAUAUGGCUAAAUUAGCUAAAAGCUGAAAGAAGAAAGAGGAAGAGAUCUAAGGACUCAAAAGUUUGGAUCACUCUGGUCUUUUGCUGAGAAGAGCAAAAAGAUCAAGACUGAAACAGUCUACAACCGUGUGCACGUGUGAGUUGGGGGGGGGGGCAGAUUGAUGAAAAGAGAGGUAGAGAAAGAGAGAGAGAGAUCACAGAGAGAGUGUGUACUCGCUCCCUGCUAUAUAGCUCUGGGCCAUGUACACAGCAGAAAGUCACGACCCCAAAGUACAGUACAUGGUCUGAAUUUUAAUGACUUUUUGACUGAGAUAGAGCUUUUGUGAGCAUGCAUGUGUGUACCUAAGUCUGUGCUUGGCCCUCAGGUAAAGUGUGUGAAAGUGUGUGUGUGUAGGUCUUUCUGGCUGUCUCUCUGUCUGUGUAGAGGUGGGGGUCGAGGGGGUGGGUGUUUGCGUAUGGGGAACUGUACUCCUCUGGGAGCUGAACCUGGAAAGAUAGGAUGCUGAAUUGCAACUAUGACACACUACCUUGAUAUAUACACACACACACACACACAUGCACAGACCGUCAUGCACAGACCAUCAGGAGCCUGCAGGAGUAGGACAGGACAAGGUGACUACAUGUUGAGUGGAACAAAGCUUCGCAUCUUUGAACUUGCUCUGAUAAAUAUAGCUAUGGUAGACGACAAAAUCAUCAUAAAAGAAGAUUUCAUAGACAGACUUUUUAUGUUUCAAACCUGACAGCCAUCCUCAAGGAGAGCUCAGAGGUUAAAAAAGAAACACUAGAGCUCUGAAGCUGUUGCACAAUUUAGCUGUAAAAAAAAAGCUGUAUUUAAAUCAGCGCUACGAUAAUCGGCAAACAAACCAAGAAAAAGUGAUUGAACUAAAAAAUAUGUAAGUCAAACAUUUAUUUUAGGUAUUUAAAGUCUAAUGUUGAAAGCAUAGACUGGACAUAGAAUGGACGCCGUCUGUCUCCUCGCUGGGUGAAGCCACCCUGAGAACAGCACCCUCUGGUGACGGGCUGCAGUAUAGGUCAUAAAUCCCACCUCCACCAAAAUCCCUAUGGAGCUGUGGACAAAGAAUACAUAUUUUUCUCCCCCUUGGUUGUGAUGUUGACAUGUAGUUACUGUAAGACUGGUUUGUGCUCAAGUCCUCUUUUUUCUGUGCAGCUCCGUUUUUAAAAGUUAUUUGGGGUUUCAUGUUUUUAUAUGAUUGACACUUGAUACAGCCUAUGGGCGUACGAAGAUUGCGUAGCUCUCCCGGGGGGAUACGCUGUUUGAGCUGAGUGUCAUCACAGCGACUCCCCCGCCGAAUGCGUACAAUGCUACUGUGCAAGUGGUGGAGUGCGUACAACGCUACUGCGUAAUGUUUGUUUUAUAGGAAAAAAAGGGAAAUACUGAGAGCUUUUUGGCUUCAAAUCCAUAUCCUGGCGGAACCAAGUUGUCCAUACAGUCUACGGUUGAUACUCUGUCUCACAGUGUAGUGCACAUCAGACAGCAACAAUGUGAACUUUAAAGUAAAUUAGACUGCUAUUACAGGCUCCAGCUCUCCUUAUCCUCAUCUAAGUACCAAUACUUAAGUUUACAAGUGUAAGUCUCCUCAUGAGAUGACUUUUUGUUUUUCUACUUGUGUCCAAAAGCAAUCAAAAGGGUUUUACAGAACAUUAUACAAAUGCAUAGUCAUUAUAUCCUGGUUUAGUUUCAGAUGACACAUUAUGUCCUUUUCUUUGUGUUUUCAUUUUAGCUUGGUAAGAGAGAUUAUGUUAUUAUUAUCCUAUGAGUAUACGUCUGUGGUUUUAAAAAGCUUCCUCAUUGAUUUCUGCUCUUUUUCCUUUAUCCAUCACCCAUUCAUUUUACUUAUCUAAAUGUGUAUGUGUCUGUUAUUAUGUGCUGUCUGUACUGGCCUGUUUUUGCCCAGUGUACGUGUUCUAUAUGUCAAAGCUGCAAUAAUGUGCUGCAGUGAUUUAAAGAUGCUGUUAUGGUCGACAUUUGAACAUUUUAUGUCUCUGCAACAGUUUAUAAUAAUGUGAUUUUUAGCACACAGACGCAGUGAGAAGAAGACCAUGCAGUCUCUCAUUUUACAGUCUAAGUGACAUGUAAUAGGAGUUUAAAGAGAGCAGUUCUCCGACUGCCUGAUGGCUGCUCUGAAUGCUAAUCCCUUUAAACUGAAUCAUUAUGAUCAAUAAUCCUUUCAGGGAACUGAAUAACCCUUGAUGCAUACAAUAUAGGUAUAAAAAUGUAUAUUUUGAAUUUUAAUCUGUUCAACUCCGUGUGACUCAUACAUCUAACACAAGCAGCUUUUUACAACCAGAUGAGGGAAUCUGUCAAAAAGCUCUGGGUGUUUUAUCAAUAGUACUUAUUGUGAUAAGUCCAUUUAGUUUCUUCUCAUCAAUAAAAAUGUGAUGGGCUUUUCUAUUGUAACAUGCUGGUGUAUCGCUCAGUGGCUACAACAUCAACAACAUCUUCAUGCUGAUUUCACCUGUUAAAGAUCCACUCUGAUGGACCACUGCCCAAACUCUCUUCUUUGUUUGUACAUAUGUUUGACUCAUGUAUGCUUGCAGGGGAAUGGGGUUAUCUUGGGUCACCUGAUAUUAAAAAGGUCAUACAAGGUCACAGAGGGCAUUGAAGUUCAACUUAAACCUUCACUUUUUGCCAUUUUAGAGGUGCUGUUUCUUGCACUGUUUUCUAAAAAACCUCAGAAAUGCACUUAACUGAAAUUUAAGAGGACCCCUCAGCUUUUAAUCAAUAGCUGGAGACACUGUCAGUGUGGGGAUCAAUGAUGACACAUUUUUGGUGUGCCUUUCUAAGUCCACCCUUAGGUAUUUGAUGGUGCAGAAAGGGCAUAUAAUAGAAUUUUUUUUACUGUUUAAGGAACACACAAUGGUGGUAUACAUCUCAAAUAGUAUUAAAAAGAAACGACAGAGAAAUUCUUAUCAAUAUAUGAGCUGAAAAACACUGUGGCAGCCCUCUGAAGCCUGAUAGGAAAAGGAAGAAAUGGCUUACACUGAUACAACCUGUUAUAGUCCCACUUAUUUUUUAAGGCAUAAAAAAAAUCAUACCAGGUUGGAAAUAUGGAGAAAGAAAACCAAGCAGAUAAUGCACCUGGAAAUAACUCCAGUUAUUUUUUCUCUCUCUCUUUUCUCCCCUGUGAAGAAGUAGGUUGACUCCCUCUCAGAGAAAACUGCAUGCAGUAUAUCAAAUGAUGACUCAGUCAUCAGAAAUAUCUCACUGUCUUUCAGUGUUCAGGGAAGCAUGAGCACAAACAGUAAGUGUGUGUUACUGAGCAUGAAGUUGUAUAUUGCACCAAAACACCAAAAGCAAUCAAACAUUUCCUGUAUUAGCAUGGGGUCUGCCAGGUGCCCUUGGGUGUUCUUGUGUAUAUGCAGUUGUGUGUGUGUGUGCUUUUUGUUUAUAUUUGGGUCAACCCACAUCACACUUCCUGUGUGCUAGAAUUCACAGUCUGGCACUUCUGCAUGCAUGUGUGUGGUAGUGUGUGUGUGCAAAGGGUUAAAACUAUGUCAAACAGUGUGCUUUGUCUCUGUCUAUUUCCUUUAUGUUCAAGGACAUUAUUUUCUCUGUUUCCCAGCUCCCUUGUCCCGAUCAUUAACUCACAUUUAUAGAUAGUGUUUUUUCUUCAAUGCUCACUCCUCUCUCUUCCUCUGAACUCCAUAACUUUUCUACUUCAUCUCCUCCUUUCUCUUCCUCACAUCGCUCUCUUUACAGCCCUUUUCUAUCAUCCUUUACGUUCUCCUGUUUAAAUCUGUGUGUGUGUGUUUGUGUGUUCAUGUGUGUAUGUUGCCUUGUCUCUCUCUUCCUCUGGAUUACUGCUGCAGACAUUCUGCUGCUAUAGACACUCCCUUAAUCAGUCUCUCCUCUGUCCAUCUCUCUCUUUCUGCACCUCCCUCAAUCCCCUCUCUAAACCAUGUACAGUCUCAGUCAGCAGAUGACUGUCUAACGUGUGUCUGGCUCUGCAGGUUUCUGCCUGUUAAAGGAAGUUCAUCCUCUCCACUGUAACUUGUUAAAUGCUGCAGUGUUUCAUUCAUGUGGGUGAAGAUGGGAUGGGAGUGGGUCUGAUCUGAUCUGAGAUGGGGCUAGAUCUUAUCAUUGGGUCUUAAUGCAUAGUCUAAACCAGCUUUUUUCUUGAUGAGCAUUUUGGGUUAACACAUGAUGUGAAUUGGCACUACAUAAAUAAAUAUUGAUUAAUUGACUGAUUGAAAAAAAAACAUUAAAAGACCUAUUUUUUUGUUAUUUUAAUCUUCCCUACAUCAGGUCCUUUUCAGUUUUGCUCCCCUUAUGUUCCUCUAGAGCCUAUGCUGUGUAGGGGGAGAGGAAUAGAAGGGUGGCAAUCAUCUAUUGAGAGUAAAUGAAGUGUGAUCAUUUCAUCACAGUUACAGACUGCACACGUGUAAUGCAGAGUUCAAUUAUCCAAUAAAAGGUGGGAUGUGCUGGGGUUUGAAUUAAAAAUAUCUUGAUUAUUGUCGUCUUCAAACAGUCUUUAAAUAGAGGCUUCAACUCAUGUUAACAACCUAAAGGGUGGUAAUUAAACAUAAUUGAGUUAAUGUAGGCUCUGCAUCAGUCUGUUAAGAAGUCACAUGGGUAAUAAAAAACAGAACUGAAUUUCAGAUAAAAAUUAUAAGCAGGGAGUCAAUAAAAAACUACCUGUAUGUUUGGCACGUAUUAUGUCAAAACGAAUUUAAAUGGCCAACUUCUGUUUCUACAUUAAGCUUGUUACUACUGGGUCUUUUCCAGCUGACAUGUUAUGUAUUAAAACGCAUUAGUAAAAGACCAACAGUUUGUCAUUUUUACAGCUGUGUGCAAUUUGUCCUGAUUUAACAUGUUUUCUUCGUUGUAGAAACAAAUCUGUUCUUUUCAACCAUCACCUCAGAGUGUGGCAUGUGAACACUGGAGUCUGCGCAGAACAUAUGGGACAGUUUCAGUUCGAUUGAGCCAUAAACAUGAAAGAGAAAAUCCAUCUUCAGCUGCGUUACCCAGGUAUAUUAGUGUGAUUUGAGAAGAUCGGUUAAGUGCGAUUUCAGUCUGACUAAUGUAAGUCCAGUUUCAGUUUUUUUUAAAUUAUUAUUGGCUCUUUAGUUUCUAAUAUUUGUUAUUUAGACAGAGACUACACAUUUAUAAAAGACCUUGAAGAAUUUGGUGUUACAGCUUUACAGAUGUCGACAAAAUGACAUUUUCUCAUCUUGGUAUAUGAAGGUUUCACAGAGACAGGUGGUUUCAACAUUGUUUAGACACAGUGUCUUCUAGUCGACGGGAGAAGCACCGAGCCAGAAGGUCUUUUCAUUGUUGUCCUAUAAAUCUGGAUGCCAGCUGUUCCUCCAGCAACACUGCAGUGGUGCCAGCUGUUCCUCUGCUCUCUCUCUGAACCCUGAUGCCAUGAGAUGGUGCUAUAAGUCCAACUUUAAAGCAAAUAUUUGUUUUGCAUCAGGAGUUAAAGCUUGAAUUAAAUAUGGAAGAGGCAAUGUGUUAGAGCACACAGACAAAAUCUAACAUGCCACUAUUUUAACCUUUGGAAUUUAGGAUGCAACAACUGUGGACUUGAUGAAACACAGUGGACCAACACCAGCAAAUGACAUGGCACCCCAAACUUCACAAUGAUCUUCAAACACUUUGGAUUCUGGGCCUCUUCGAUCUCCCUCCAGACUCUGGGAUCUUGACUUCCAAAUGAGAUGCAACAAUUACUUUCAUCUGAAAACAGGACUUUGGACCACUGAGCAGCAGUCCUAUUCUUUUUCUUCUUAGCCCAGGUGAGACUCUUGUGACUUAGUCUGUGGUCCAUUUCCUGAACCUGUCUAUGUGUAGUGGUUCUUGAUGCUCUGACUGAAGCCUUAGUCUACUUCUGAUGAAGCUCCACUUAAAUUCUCAAACCUGAUGUGUUUGUCAGUCCUCUCAAGACCGUCCUCAUAUUCCUUCAUCACCUUUUCCUCCCACACUUUCCCCUUCCAGUCAACUCUCCAUUAAUAUGCUUCCUUACAGCACAAUGCCUUUUCAGCCAUGACCUUUUGCAGCUUAAUCUAUGAAUUGUAAACCAUAAUCUUCAAGAUUCAAAAAGUGAAAACUGUGAUUUGUGCACAAGAGAAAAUCCCCCCACCACCACAUACACAAUAUCAGUUUUGUCAUUGUUCUAUAGGGAACCAUUCAUUUUCAUGUCAAACAUUCAAAGCAAGCAGAAUGUUCAAGUUUUGGCAGGGGAUAAGUAGAUGUGUCAUAAAAGUGAAGGGAAACAGGAGUGUGGGAGUAGAUACCAGAAUGUACAGUAUGUUAGUCCUAAAUAUGUCAGAUCUUUAAAAAUGAAUGCUCUAUGUGCAUGAUUUAGGCUGAGAGAAAUACACAGAUCUUUCUUUUUACUUUUCCUAAACUAAAUGGAUUUAAAUUUACUUAAACUUUGACUUCUGACUGAAGAGUUUAAGGAGGAAACAUGGCAUACAGUCAAAACUUCUCCAGAUGGAAAAGCAAAUGUCAGAAUCUUUUUUUUCAUUUCCAAAUCUUUCAUUGGAGCGAUAUUGAAUUUUCUAGUGUUUUGAACAAACCCCAAUUACAAGGAAGCGAAUGAAAACAGAAUACAACUGGCAAAUCUUUUCCCACCUGUAUUCUACUGGAUACACUACAAAGACGGGAUAUUUAAUGUUCAAACUGAUUAACUUAUGCAGGUUGUGUUAUAUUUAUAUAUAUAUUAAUUUAUGGUGUAUCAAAUAAUGCAAUGAAAUAUUGCUUUAACAUAGCAGCGAUGUUCUUGAAUCUAUUGCAUGACCCACAAUUUUUCUCUCUUCAUCUAUUCACUUCAAAUCCAUCUGAAACAUGUUGCAAGCGAAGAUAACCAUGUACAUGAGAAGUUAAAUUGCAUGGAAGAAUAGAAUUAUACAUGAUUUCCUUUAUUUAUUUGAACCAAAAUAUUUACCUUGUUCAUUUAUUUUUGUUCAUUUAUUUAUUUUCAGAUAGCUGGAUGGAAAAACAGAAGCCAAAUAUUGUCUCCUCAAACCACAGUAAGUAAGAAUUUCACUCAAGAAAAGCAAUUUGGUGUGUAGUCUAAAUUUAUCUUUCAAAUUUUUUUUUGUUUUUUUUUUUUUGUUGUAAAUUUUGCAAAAAAACAACAACAGCAUUGUAACAUCGGUAUAUAUCUUUUAAUUGCAUCAACAUCGGCUUUUGACAAAGUGAUACCGGUCAACCACUCAUUACUUUUUUCCAUUAGUAUUUCAUAGAGGACAUAUGUUUUGGGUCGUUUGACGUGAAUGUAUCGAAAUAAACAAAUCGUAAGAUCCUAUUUUGGGUGAAAGUGAUCAGUGUUUAGCCAAGAAGGUUGGAUGGACAGACAACAGACAGAGAUAGAAAAAAAAGAGAGAGAGAGAGAAGCCAACAUUUGGCUGACACCAUUGCUCUAAACACAUCAUUGAUUGGAUUGCACUGGAGGGGGUGCAUGUGUGUGUGCAGCUGGCAUGAGUGGAAAUUGUAGGUUAAUAGGAAAAGGAAAUACAUGGGUCUAUAGACGGGAGUGGGUGUGUGCGCAUUGACUGAUGUGCAUGUAUUGAUCGGUGCAGGAUUGUUAAAUAUCCUCUAAAAACUAAAUCAGUGAGAAAUUUCUGGGUCAAAUCAAAACGACAUCACAUCUUAACCAUGUAAAUUUGAAAAUAAAUCCGAGCUGCUGGUGAAAAGCUCACCGUCGGCAUAGACAAUAAGAUUAAGAGAGAAAACUGUCUGACCCAUUGUGGGAAAAGAUGAGGGAGGGAAGAACACAGAGACAGAGAUGUGUAGGCUGGAGAGGGAGUUGAAGGGGUGUAUUGUCAAAGCCAAAAGGGAUGAAACAUGAAAAGGAAGCAGGGCUUGCCUUUGGGAAAUGGAGUCAAUCGAUGCCAAAGAUGCCAAACUGUUAAGGGGCAAAUGUGGGGUGAGUGGGGGGUUGUUAUAUAACUCCAAAAUGGCAGCCCUGUUUCAGACUUAAGUUAGCAUCUUUUUAGGUGCUGAGAGAAAGCAGCACCAUUGAGUAUGUCUUUGUAAAAUGUCCACUAUCUAUUUACUGAUAAACAGAUGAUUAUUCCUAAGUGUUUGCUCAGUUCAAACCCAUUCAGGGGAGUAACAUUUAUGUGCUUGUAUAUCAGAAGAGAUCAUAAAUGCUGAAUUUAUUUCACCUUAAUAUAUAAAUCGGAAGUUAAUGUUCCCGUCAUUGCAUAAUCAAACCCUACUAUUUAUUCCACAGCUCAUUUUGGAUCCUCAGGCAUUUUUCCCUCCACAGGCUGCACUUAGGAUAAGUUAUCCCUCGGCCCCUACACACUCUUCAUUAUAUAAAGUAUAUAUUCUGUAGGCCCUGAGUUGGGGGAUAAAACGUGUGAAAAGAGAGCAGUAGGAUUUGGAGCAGCACGCAGAGAGGAGCAGCCAAAAUAGAGAGAGAGAGAAUAUCAGCAGCUCUGCCUGCCAGCCUCACUGAGCUGCUAAGCAGGGCUUAACGAUGCCCGCGGGGACGUGUAUGUGUGUAUGUGCAUGUCAGUGUGGGUGUGUGCAGACUUUUUUUUUUUAUACAUUUUCCUUCUUUAUAAGCCCAAAACAAGUGCUCAUGUUUCGGGGUCAAAUGGAGGCCAGAUAAUUAUAAAUGCAGAACUUUUUUUGAGGGUUGAAAACUUGACUACUUGGUUCAGAAUAGACACAGGUUUGAUUACAGCAGGUUAGGAAGGCUUUACUUUCACCUGUGAAGGGUCUAAUUGUAAUGUUAUCUGGUCAUGGUAAAGAUGUUAAAUAUAGAGAGAUACCAUAUGGAGGUUUUGGUAACAAAUUUAGUGUAGCGCAGGCACGCCAAACUCCUGCAAUAUAAUCAUCUAUGGCCCAGGAGGUGAUUUCAAAUGUCUAUCAUUCAUGGCCCACCAGUAAAAAGCACUCCCACCACUCAUACUACAAGUCCCACAAUGCACUGCAACAGCUGCCACAUAUGCAGGUGAAGAAUUCUGCAUCAACCCCUCCUUCUGCUGCUCUAAUGACACCUGGAUAGUUUGUCAGCGGAUGAAUACAUCGUAAGCAUACACCAUUAGACGACACAAUGAGACAUGACUUUAAUUAUGGACAUAUAUGACGCAGUGAGAGCUUUUACAGGUCGAUGCAGAAAAGGAUCUUAAGUCACCUUCCAUGUUGCCAAAAAAUCACAAACCAGGUCUUCAUUAAAGUGUUUCCAGCCACUCAUCCUGCUGAUGAACUGAGCACACUUCGCUCAAAGUUCACACACUGAUUUCCUGACUUUGAAGCCCAGAAAUGUCAUUUUGAACUGCUCAGAAAUCUAUUUGCAGCUGACAUGGAGAAAGCUCAUGUAAACAUGCGGAUGGACAUGAUAGAACUCCAACAAUUAGCUAAAUACUUCCCUGGCAAUGAUGCACCAAAAUAACUGUCAUAAAACGACUCAUUAUGCUUUUUGAAAAACCUCAAACCAGAUUCCUGACUAUAGAAAAGUUGGUUAUGGACUAAACUUAUUAGUUAUGUAAAGUUAUAAAUAGUAUAUUCAGUUGUUAAUUUUUUAUCAACUCUGGCAGAUGUUUAUAAGCAAAAAAACAGCUGCACUAGUUAAUUUAUAAUGGUGUGAAAAAUGCAUCUAAAAAAAGCAUCUACAAAAGACAGGGAGGCAAAGUUUGUUUCUCUGUUUUUAACAUUUUGAUGAAGCACCCCUGAAAAUCACAGAGGUCUUUGCAACAGAAGCCAGCUGGUCAAGCCCCAAAGCUGAUUAUUUACGGGAAUGGGGGUGCAGUGAGCAUGUGUCCGUGGGAGAGCAUGGGGGGCACAGCGCAGGGGUAGUGCUCAAUGCCUCCCCUCUAUGGUGGGCGGACCGGUCAGUUAAGAGAAUUACUGAAAAUAUCAGCUUAAGAUCAGUCCUUAACAUUUAAUCGAACACCAUUCACUCAACACUUAAGAAAUAUGUUCAUAUUGUUUGCACAUUUUGUUUUCUUCCCAUCUCAUACCAACGUUUGGUUUGUUGAAAACCCAAAAGGACUUUACGUUUAUUAGAAUAAUAAUAUAACAUAUUGUGAAACAUAUUUGGUAUGAGUGGAGGGAUAGAGUUGGAGGGUAUGUGUGUGUCCAAGUGUGUAUAUGAGUGGGUGUAGGCAUGUGUCUUACUGAGUGGCAGAGGGGUGCGUGUGUCUGUGUUCCACUGACCUCGCCUGACCUUCUCCUCUGAUUCUCUCCCCUGCUGUCAGCAGCGAGCCGACACAAGAUCACAGUUGACUGUUCAGCCCCAAGGUGCCAUCACAUCUGAUUGCACCAGAGGAUUGGGUUUGGAAAGUGAUUAAAUAUGGUGUAGUGUGCUCAGAGGAAAAGAAAGAGGGCCUGGAGAAAUAAAGAUUAAUGGCUUAAUGUUCAAUUAUAAGAGGUUACCCGUUUUCAAAACAUUUUAUUUGAUAGCACCAAGGUCUGGGAAGUCAACUUUAA